This 253-nucleotide ribosomal RNA is filed under the name uncultured bacterium. RNAcentral's name for it is "partial 16S ribosomal RNA". It matches the Rfam family "Bacterial small subunit ribosomal RNA", at positions 524 to 776 of the family's 1533-position model. The record is from RNAcentral.
UACGUAGGAGGCAAGCGUUGUCCGGAAUCACUGGGCGUAAAGCGCGUGUAGGCGGAUCGCUAAGUCUGUGGUGAAAGCGCCUGGCUUAACCGGGCGAGGUCCAUGGAAACUAGCGGUCUGGAGGCCGGUAGAGGGGGGUGGAAUUCCGGGUGUAGUGGUGAAAUGCGUAGAGAUCCGGAGGAACACCAGCGGCGAAGGCGGCAUCCUGGACUGGUCCUGACACUCGUGAGCGAAAGCGUGGGGAGCGAUCCGG